RNAcentral lists this long non-coding RNA (2790 nucleotides) under Vitis vinifera (wine grape). Its description in RNAcentral is "long non-coding RNA (VVIN_LNC004384)". The record is from RNAcentral. Lineage: Eukaryota; Viridiplantae; Streptophyta; Magnoliopsida; Vitales; Vitaceae.
AGCACCUCCUGACGCCAAGUUUCCAGCAAACCAUUUCCAGUAACCAUCCCUGUCUUUCUUGAAAUUGAAAAGCCUCUUGAAGUAAUCCUUGAAUGCAAAGUUCAAGGCCUGGUGCAAAAUUAAAAAAGCAAUUAAUCAUAAAGGGCAUGAGAAGGAAAAUCACAAAUCAGAGAAUCCAGGAAAAAUGGAAAAUAACAACUAGCCUGAGUGGGGAAGUAACGGAUGACAUUAGCAGUGUUUCCUCUCCACAGUGACAUAAACCCUUCAUCCUUUAUUGUCCGGCUAAAACACUCACCAAUGCCCUUGUAAGGUUCAGAGAGCCUACCAGUCUUGAUCAUCUCAUCCUGGUUCUGGAUCAAAAGCUUCACACGCUCAAUUGGAGCAGCAGCUGUUUUGGAUACAGCAGCAGAGACUCCACCCAUAAGGAAAUCAAUGGCAAAACCGGCAAGGCCUUUCUCUUUGGGGGCUGGGACAAAAACAGGGGAGACAUUUGACCCAACCAUCAAUGGAUCAAAAGUAGCUCCACACAUGGGGUACUGCAAUGCGGCAUUGGUGUAAUUCCCAUAUGCAGAGUGUCUCUGUUGCAAGGUAGGCUGUUGGAAUCUGCCAUGAAAAGCCUGAAUGUUUUGGGAAUGAUGCAGAUGGCCAGCCACCUUCUGCAUGAUAGUUGGGUACUGAGGCUGAUCAAUCAUUUUGUCUUCCCCUGCAAGGGUGCAAAAGAUCAUACAUAAAAAAGGUGAGAUUAUACAUAAUUAGUCGGUAAACACAUAUGUGCACCCACUAUUGAAAUAAGAGCAACCACUAGUGAAUCAAGCAAACCAAAUGUAAAUAAUUCCCAGGAAUUUCAUUACAUGAUUUAAUACAAAAACCGAAUAGAAUAUAAAAUGGGUGCUAGUAGAACCCCAAAAUCUUCUACAUGUUUAAAGGGUUCUAAAUUUGGAUGAGAGCUUCACAUGAAGCUCCUCUAGAGCAGUGACACAACAUCAAGCACACCACUAGUGAAUCAAGCAAACCAAAUGUAAAUAAUUCCCAGGAAUUUCUUUACAUGAUUUAAUACAAAAACCGAAUAAAAUAUAAAAUGGGUGCUAGUAGAAACCCUAAAAUCUUCUUCAUGUUUAAAGGGUUCUAAAUUUGGAUGAGAGCUUCACAUGAAGCUCCUCUAGAGCAGUGACACAACAUCAAGCUCAGAUAAUCCUUUGCUGUUCUUGGAGCAGUAGUAGGUAAAAUGAGGUAUGAAACUAGAAAACAUUCGAAUGAUUUGAUGCCCCAUGCUGAUAUGAACUAACACCCCAUGUUUAGGAAGGACAUUAAAUAAUAAAAUGAAAUUAAGAAGAAUUAUUAUAACUAUCAAAAAAAAAAAAUGAAAUUAAGAAAACAUUUUAAAAUAAGAAUCUAAAUGAAUAAACAUAGUAAAGAAGGCAUGUCAAUGACAUAGAGAAGAAUUGCAUUAAACAUGCCUGCCAGUCUCGAUAUAACAUUGAUGACAACAUAGAAUCCUUUUCUAAUGGGUGAAGACAGAACCAGAUUUUGCAAUUUGAAAUCCUUUUAGUUGCAUACAUGGAUAAACCACGACAUGGAAUUAUUAAAAGAUAUGAGGCAUCCCUGAUAACAAAUUCGAGACAUCACAUUACUAAAAGUAAAAUCAUGCUAGGAGAGGAGGGUGGAUCUAGGCUUUGCUUCAAUCCUUAUUUUAGUUACUGCUAUGCAAAUUAUCAAAGCACCCUAAAGCUGAUUGUUAGAUCAAUAUCAACACUCAAAAGUACAAACAGAUCAUAUCCAGAAGAUGCAUAGCUCCAAUAUUUCAAAAGAAUGAAUUUUAAAUACAACCAGAAAAGACUCCCUUCCGCCAGAGAUGAAUUCCUCGUUAGGAAAGGAAUGAAACACACCUCACAUCAUGAUAAAGAUUGAUGAAGAAAAAGAGCUAAAUAUAAAAAAUCUAUGUGAUAAAUAAUUUACACAUGACAAAAAAAAAAACAAAAAAACAAAAACAGGCAUUUGAAAUAGAAAAUAGAGAAACUAGAGAUAGAUAUUUCACAUUUUGAACCACAUUAUUCCAAAAAUAAUUGCGAGAAUAAAAGGCUAACAGUGAGAUCCUAGCCGUCAUCGACACCAUUUGUCACUCUUAACUCCAAGACUGGUAAGCAGUAACGAGAUUCAAAAACGCAAAAACGUAAGCAGAUCUAAAAUUCGCUUAAAGAAAACGUUUUUCUCAAAAAAGGAAGACACUAAAAACUACUUGUAGAAAACACUUUUCUCAACUAUUUACAUCAUUUUCCUUUCCUUUUCUCCUCCUUCUCAGGGAUUCUCUUUGAAUCCCAAAAGAAAGACGAAAAUGAAAAAAAAUUAAAAAAAAAGAAAAGAAAAGCUUUUAGAUGUAAACUUUCCUAUGAGAUCCAAACGGAGCCUGAAGAUUGAAUAGAUCCAAAACUUCAAAACCUAAAAAAAACACUUCUACAAACUACAAAUAAAUCAUCGCAUCAAACAAGAAAAAACAAAGACAGAUCCAGAAACGGUACGUGGUCGCCAUGUCUCAGACCGAUCGGAAUAUCUCUCUGGAAACUAGAGAUGAAAUGAACAAUUAAAAUGAAAUAAAUGAAGCAAUAGAUCACAGAUCUGACGAGAUCGGACCCUGAAAGUGAUGAUUUAGAGAGAUUAGAGAAAAGAUUCGAGAUUGGAUCGUAUUGUUACCUUCGGAGAGAUUGGAGUCGAUGAAAUCUCAACGCAGGCGCCGGUAAGGGAAGAAGAAGUGAAGACAGCGAAGAUAAACUGUGUGGUGGCGACGGGUUUGAG